AUUAUUUGAUUGAAAUCCCAAACACCUAAUCAGCCAGUUUACUACACUUUUUACACUUAAACCACCUACAAACCUCACCAAGGAUGCUUGCGUUAAGGACAUGGAAGUAGACAUAUCGGACACUUUGUGGGCCAAUGGGUUGAAGAAGAUUAAAGAAUGCUCUGUUAAUGCCAGAUUACAACUUAGGCAGUUCAAAGUCCUUCAUCGUUUGCGUUUCUCUAAAAUAAAGCUAGGCAGCAUUUUUCCAUCUAUUUCCUCAUUGUGUCAUAAAAUGCAAAGCAAUGGAAGGAACCACUGCCCACCUUUUCUGGUCUUGCCCUAAACUUUUUUGGGCAGAGAUAUUUAAUAUGUAUAACCGGAUUUAUGACUUAAAAUUAAAGCCGGAUUGUAUACUUGCAGUGCUAGGCUGCUCCCUAACCUCACUGGCACUUAGACGUCCUCUUCAGAAACCCUUAAUGUUUGACAUGAUUGUAGCUAAAAGCUAUUGUAGCUAUUCUUAGAGCCUGGAAAUCACCAUCUCCUCCCUUGUUUAGGGUUUGGCUAUGAGAGAGGAUUGCAUGUUUGUAUAUUGCCUUAUUUUUUUCUUUUCUUUUAUUGUUUUCCUGUUCUGGUUUUUUGGUUUUUGUCUUACUUUCUGCGCUUGGAUGUCAUUGUUUUUUAUUUGAUUUUAUGUCAUUUUAAGUUAAAAUCUUGUAAAUAAACAUUAAAAAAAAAACCUUUAAGAGCAAGUAUUUUAAAAAAUAUCUCCAAGCAUACCGUCUAUUUACCAGAAUACCUGUGUUGGUUUUUGUUUUAGGUUUUUUUUUUAACAUUGCCUUAUUUCUUUGUUGCAUGACUUCCAGGCUAGGCCCUUAUCAGUCUACACAAGAUGACCAGCAAACCACAAACCCAGUCAAUGCCACACAGGGGCGCCAUUAACUCACAGCUAGGCUCAGCAUCAUUCAUCACAAUUAGCACAACAAAACAAGCAAGUUCAGCUUCAUUCGGCUAGUGUGCACUGCUCACUGGUGCAACAGAAAUGCCAGACUGAUGAUUUAAGCAUUUGUCAACCUUAAAGUUGCUUUCAUAAUAUAAAUUCAUAAUGUUAAAUCUUCUGCUUAAUGAAAUACGUGCAAUAGACGCAGAGCAGCCUCUCAGAAAACCAGUAAUUGAAUUGACUCACCUUUUUUCAAAUCAUCUUGUUUGGACUCAGGAUAAACUAUCCAUCGUUUUAAUAUCCAUUCAUUUCAUGUCUUUGGAGCACGAAGGCGAUCCACACAGAGAGCACUCCUG
Molecule: long non-coding RNA, 1272 nt
Organism: Astatotilapia calliptera (eastern happy)
Lineage: Eukaryota; Metazoa; Chordata; Actinopteri; Cichliformes; Cichlidae
Source: Ensembl